RNAcentral lists this long non-coding RNA (2520 nucleotides) under Daucus carota (carrot). RNAcentral's name for it is "long non-coding RNA (DCAR_LNC004558)". The record is from RNAcentral. Lineage: Eukaryota; Viridiplantae; Streptophyta; Magnoliopsida; Apiales; Apiaceae.
AAUGGUGAACUUGCAGACAGUGAAAAAGAUUAUAAUUUGCUACCCAAGGUGGUAGAGUUCUCCUUACAUAAUGGCGAUCAGAAGGAAGAAAAUACCGAAGCAGAGAUCCCACAUCAUGAGGAACCUGUGAAGGAAAUUCCUCUAACAGAGAGAAAUGUAGUGGAUGUCAAGACAGUUGAAAAUGGUACUGAAACUACAGACAUAAACGAAAAGCCCAAAGUGUGUGAGAGCAAAGAAAAGGACGAUGAUAAUUCAGUGGAAAUUGAAUCUAAGAUAUGGGAAAGCGGCAAGAUUGAAGAGAAGGACUUCCUGGAGGCAGCGGAGAAGGAAUCCGUUGAGGAAGUCGACUCAAAGACGGAGAAUAAUAGCCUGGACCAGAUUAAUGGAUUGUCUUCAAAGGAAGAUACUCCGACAGUACAUCUGGAGAAUGGUGGAAGCUCACCACCAACAAAAGAACAAAGUCACAAGAAGAAGAAGCCUUUGCUCCACAAAUUCGGAAGCUUAUUGAAAAAGAAGAGCUCAAGCAACCCCAAGUGAAAGUGCAGUUAAGUCUUGUUUUAGGAAUGUACAUUAGCUCUAUUUUACACCUGAUUAUUGUGUUUUUUUUAUUUUUAUUUCUUAAAGUUUCAUGCUAUCCUUUUCUUAUCUGCAGAAGUGGAAAGAAGUGUACUGAAAGGCUUGUAUCAUCUUUAGUUUUUUUUUAUAUAUUUUUUGUUAUAACUAUUCUUUUUGUUUUCAUGCAAUGCAAUUCCAAAUUAGUUUAUAUAUUAAUUAACGUGUCAUCUGGUUUUGGUUAAUCCUCCCAGCAAAGGAGUUGAUUCAUUUUCCAUUCAACCACCAUCAGCGCCCUUUUUCUUUUUCUUUUUUUAUCUCCCCUGAAAACAGUAGUUUCACAAUUGUAAUUUCAUGGAUAGUGCAAUGUUCAGAGGACUCAAUUGUAAAAACUGAGUUUAAAGGCCUCGGGUUAUGAACAAAUAUUUUUUGUGAGAAGUGAGCACAUGCGAUUUUCACUACCAUUCCAAACGCACCCCAGCUAUCUAGACACUUCGCACAAAGCGAGACCCUCAAACACGCAAAUAAUAACUCAAACGGACGAUAACAAAAAAAAUUGAAUAGGUUUUCCGAAUUUUGUGGAACAAAACUCAAUUUUAUUAAAGAAAAAACAAACAAAAAAGAUUAUUGAUAGGAAAUUGAAAGAAGAGAAGAAGUGUUGGAUGAAUGGAGAAGGGGCGGUUAGAGAAUUGAGAUAGGAAGAAAGAAGACAUAGAUAGAGAUGGACUGAAAAGGUGGAAAAGGAGAUGGAGACGACUAGGGUUAAAGGAAGAUGAAGCGCCCGACUCUCUCGGAUAAGCACUGAGUACAUGUAUAACACUAUUUUAUUUUCUACAUAUAUAUUACAAUAGUUUUCGGGUUUGAUAUUGUUUUUAUGACAUAAAUAUGUCUUUUUUGACUUUAAUGUUUUAUAUAUUAAUGAGAAAAAAAUUAGAUGCAGCUCUUUUUCUAAUUUACAAGGAUAUUUGCUUUUACCGGCAUUCACUACGAUAAUCACAUCUAUAUUGUCGACACUUAUAUUUUCAAAAGUUUAUAGCUUGAUUUGAUAACUGUAUCACUAUUGAUAAUUUGUGAUAAUUGCAGCGGGAGUACAUAUUUUUGGAGGAUAGAUAUGAGUAUAUGACAAACUCUUGAAAGUUGUUUUUUUUGGGUAAAAAUGUUUACAAAGAGGUCAUAUAUCAAAAGAGAACCACAAAUCCUAAUCCUACUUGAAUGUAGUUUAAAAUAUAUUUAAUUUCCUCCUAUUUCUUUAUUGAAAGCUCAAUUUCAACAAAUAAAUCAAACUUUUUAAUAAAUUUCAACAAAUAAAUCAAACUUUUUAAUCACUAAACUGUAAGGAAUGAGUUGUUUUAUACGGUAUAUAUAUAUAUAUAUAGUAUAUGAUUAUAUCACAAGGAACGGGGAUGAAGGACUGAAGGUAGCUUUAAAUCAUGACAAUAUCGUUUACUUGAACACAAAGAAAUGAUGAAAAUAAUAUAUAUUAAUUAUUUGAUGUAUUCAGUUGUUCAACAGAAAAUGCCGAAGCAGAGAUCCCACAUCACGAGGAACCUGUAAAGGAAAUUCCUCUAACAGAGAGCAAUGUAAUGGAUGUCAAGACAGUUGAAAAUGGUACUGAAACUACGGACAUAAACGAAAAGCCCAAAGUGUAUAAAAGCAAAGAAAAGGACGAUGAUAAAUCAGUGGAAAUUGAAUCUAAGAUAUGGGAAAGCGGCAAGAUUGAAGACAAGGAUUUCCUGGAGGCAGCUGAGAAGGAAUCCAUUGAGGAAGUCGACUCAAUGACGGAGAAUGAUAGCCUGGACCAGAUUAACAGAUUGUCUUUAAAGGAAGAUACUCCGACAGUACAUCUGGAGAAUGGUGGAAGCUCACCGCCAACAAAAGAACAAAGUCACAAGAAGAAGAAGCCUUUGCUCCACAAAUUCGGAAGCUUAUUAAAAAAGAAGAGCUCAAGCAACCCCAAGUGAAAGUGCA